RNAcentral lists this ribosomal RNA (1372 nucleotides) under uncultured bacterium. Its description in RNAcentral is "bacterial SSU rRNA". It matches the Rfam family "Bacterial small subunit ribosomal RNA", at positions 28 to 1381 of the family's 1533-position model. The record is from RNAcentral.
GAUGAACGCUGGCGGCGUGCCUAAUACAUGCAAGUCGAGCGAACAGACGAGGAGCUUGCUCCUUUGACGUUAGCGGCGGACGGGUGAGUAACACGUGGGUAACCUACCUAUAAGACUGGGAUAACUUCGGGAAACCGGAGCUAAUACCGGAUAAUAUUUCGAACCGCAUGGUUCGAUAGUGAAAGAUGGCUUUGCUAUCACUUAUAGAUGGACCUGCGCCGUAUUAGCUAGUUGGUAAGGUAACGGCUUACCAAGGCAACGAUACGUAGCCGACCUGAGAGGGUGAUCGGCCACACUGGAACUGAGACACGGUCCAGACUCCUACGGGAGGCAGCAGUAGGGAAUCUUCCGCAAUGGGCGAAAGCCUGACGGAGCAACGCCGCGUGAGUGAUGAAGGUCUUCGGAUCGUAAAACUCUGUUAUUAGGGAAGAACAAACGUGUAAGUAACUGUGCACGUCUUGACGGUACCUAAUCAGAAAGCCACGGCUAACUACGUGCCCGCAGCCGCGGUAAUACGUAGGUGGCAAGCGUUAUCCGGAAUUAUUGGGCGUAAUGCGCGCGUAGGCGGUUUUUUAAGUCUGAUGUGAAAGCCCACGGCUCAACCGUGGAGGGUCAUUGGAAACUGGAAAACUUGAGUGCAGAAGAGGAAAGUGGAAUUCCAUGUGUAGCGGUGAAAUGCGCAGAGAUAUGGAGGAACACCAGUGGCGAAGGCGACUUUCUGGUCUGUAACUGACGCUGAUGUGCGAAAGCGUGGGGAUCAAACAGGAUUAGAUACCCUGGUAGUCCACGCCGUAAACGAUGAGUGCUAAGUGUUAGGGGGUUUCCGCCCCUUAGUGCUGCAGCUAACGCAUUAAGCACUCCGCCUGGGGAGUACGACCGCAAGGUUGAAACUCAAAGGAAUUGACGGGGACCCGCACAAGCGGUGGAGCAUGUGGUUUAAUUCGAAGCAACGCGAAGAACCUUACCAAAUCUUGACAUCCUUUGACCCUUCUAGAGAUAGAAGUUUCCCCUUCGGGGGACAAAGUGACAGGUGGUGCAUGGUUGUCGUCAGCUCGUGUCGUGAGAUGUUGGGUUAAGUCCCGCAACGAGCGCAACCCUUAAGCUUAGUUGCCAUCAUUAAGUUGGGCACUCUAAGUUGACUGCCGGUGACAAACCGGAGGAAGGUGGGGAUGACGUCAAAUCAUCAUGCCCCUUAUGAUUUGGGCUACACACGUGCUACAAUGGACAAUACAAAGGGCAGCGAAACCGCGAGGUCAAGCAAAUCCCAUAAAGUUGUUCUCAGUUCGGAUUGUAGUCUGCAACUCGACUACAUGAAGCUGGAAUCGCUAGUAAUCGUAGAUCAGCAUGUUACGGUGAAUACGUUCCCGGGUCU